Molecule: ribosomal RNA, 400 nt
Filed under: uncultured bacterium
Lineage: Bacteria
Description: bacterial SSU rRNA
Rfam family: Bacterial small subunit ribosomal RNA
Source: RNAcentral
AUUGAACGCUGGCGGCAUGCCUUACACAUGCAAGUCGAACGGCAGCGGACCUUCGGGUGCCGGCGAGUGGCGAACGGGUGAGUAAUAUAUCGGAACGUACCUUUCAGUGGGGGAUAACGUAGCGAAAGUUACGCUAAUACCGCAUAUUCUGUGAGCAGGAAAGCAGGGGAUCGCAAGACCUUGCGCUGAUUGAGCGGCCGAUAUCAGAUUAGCUAGUUGGUGAGGUAAAGGCUCACCAAGGCGACGAUCUGUAGCGGGUCUGAGAGGAUGAUCCGCCACACUGGAACUGAGACACGGUCCAGACUCCUACGGGAGGCAGCAGUGGGGAAUUUUGGACAAUGGGCGCAAGCCUGAUCCAGCCAUGCCGCGUGAGUGAAGAAGGCCUGGUUGUAAGCACUGU